AAUAACCCUGGACCCUCAAUCCCUUUGGUUUCAGGUCUCACCAUGUGGUCUCUUUCCCACCCUGCUAAGACCCUCACCAGGAGUCAAACAGAUGGGGCUGCCUUAUUUGGGACUUUCAGUCUUAAGACUAUGAGCUAAAUAACCUCUUUUCUUUAAAAUGCAUCCAGCCUCAAGUAUUUUAUUAAAACAAUAGAAAACUUCUGUUAUUCUAUAUGUUGCUUUUGAAUCUAGAUUAUAAAAAAUAUUGUGGCUUCUGACUCUCUGCCCCUUGGAUCACUCACUCUGGGAGAGGCCAGCUGUCACAUUUGAGGAUGGUCACAUGUAGAGAGGCCCAUCUGGAGAGGAACUGAGGCGUCUUGCCAAUCCAUGUGAAUGGGCUUGAAAUGGAUUCUCUGCCCUGGAGAAAACUUGGAUGACUAUAGUCUUGGCCGACAGCUUGACUAAAACUUUGCGAGAGACCCUGAGUCAGAAUCACCCAGAUAUGUCACUCUUGGAUUCCUGUCUGUCAGAAACUGUGUGAGUUGAUACAUGUUUUUUUUUUGUUUGUUGUUGUUGUUGUUUUAAGCAGUUGCAUUUAGUGUGUGGGGGGGUGGGUACUGGGGAUUGAACUCAGGGGAACUCGAACACUGAGCCACAUCCUCGCCCUAUUUUGUAUUUUAUUUAGAGACUCGGUCUCACUGAGUUACUUAGCUCCUUGCUUUUGUUAAGGCUGGCUUCGAACUCGUCCUCCUGUCUCAGUCUCCUGAGCUGCUGGAUAACAGGCAUGUGCUACGGUACCCAGCUCAGUAGUUGCAUUUUAAAGUAAUUUAUUGUGUAGCAGUAGAUAAGGAUCUACUGCUCCUUGUGGUGUGGGGCUUAGUUGGAAACACUCAGAUGGCUGAGGGCUGAAAUCACCUGAAGGUUACUUCACACACAUGAAUGAUGCCUGAGCUGGGACUGUCACCUGGUGGGAAUACAUAACUGGGAUUUUUUUUUUUUAGUCAUGGCAGUUGGGUUCCAAGAGGGAGCUUCCAUAAAAUGACCUUCCAAAAGACUGAGCUUCAAAGGAGUAGCAAGUUUCUUUUGAACUAGGCUUGGAAGUAAAACAGAGUAACUUCUGCAGCAUGCUUUUGGUCAGGAGUGAGUCACUUAGGCCAGCCCAUACCCAAGGGAGGAGAAUGUGACUUGUUCUCUUGAUGCAGGAAUGAGAAGGUCAAGUUGCAGAAGAAUAAAUGGAAUGGAAAAGAUUUCAGAGCCAUCUUUGCACAAUACAGCCAUACCUGCCCGGCCCUGGGAAGAAAACCCAAUGCAUUGUUCUCUGCAUUGCCUCUCAGGAACAGAGGGACAGAUGGCUUCUUUUCAUAAGCCCUGCACACUUCUAGAACUGGGAGUAAGGCUCAUUCUGCUGAAAUGGCUCUUCCUGUCAAGUCCUGAGGAGAGCCAGCAGUGCUUUGGGCUUGGAAAAUGGGUACUUGUUGCCUUUUGUUCUCAGUUAUUGACUCUGCUACAAAUUCUACCUUUCUAGAAAAACAGGGAAGAUCCCAUUCGGCAUCUCACCCCACCAAGCCACCUCACUCUUUCUCUACCAGUCACUGUACUUAGCCCUUCACCUCCAGGAGUCCUGCACCUACCUUCUUAGCUAGGAAUUAUAAGUCCAUUUCACAGAGGGGAUCUAGAGGACCAAGGUCCAUAGCUGCCAGGUGGUGGAGGAGGGAAUCGAUGCUAGUUCUGACCUCUUUUUCAACCUUCUAGGUUUUCUGGGAUUUCAGAAAGCCUGAAAGUAUAGGAGCUUCAGCCCUGGUUUCCUCAGGUCAUUCCAAGGGUGAGGCCAGAGUGAGCAGUGUGAGAGGGGAGGAGGGAGCUACUUACCGGAGGUAGGACCUUAAACCCUGUCUGGCAGUCAUUGAGAAUACAAAUAUCAAUAAAUGCUAGAGAGAGGAUGUGAAGAAUAAGAAACACUAUUACACUGUUGGUGGGAUCAUAAAUUAGUACAACACUAUAGAAAUCGGUACAGAGACUCCUCAAAAAACUAGGCAUGGAACCACCAUAUGACCCAGCUAUGCCAUUCCUUUAGAUAUUUAUCCUAAAGAAUUAAAGUUAUCAUACCAUAGGAUACAUGCACAUCCAUGAUUAUAGCAGCAUAAUUCACAAUAGCCAAAUUAUGGAACCAACCUAGGAGUCCACCAGUGGAGGAAUGGAUAAAGAAAAUGUGGUAUAAUUGCUGAUGGGACUGCAAAGGGGUGCAACCACUCUGGAAAACAGUAUGAAGAUACCUCAGAAAACUUGCAAUGGAUCCACCAUUUGACCCAGCUAUCCCACUCCUUGGUUUAUACCCAAAGGACUUAAAAUCAGCAUGCACAGUGACGCAGCCACAUGGAUGUUUAUAGCAGUUCAAUUCACAAUAGCUAAACUAUGAAACCAACCUAGAUACCCUUCAACAGAUGAAGGGAUAAAGAAAAUGUGGUACAUAUACACAGUGGAAUAUUACUCAGCCUUAAAUAAAAUAAAAUUAUGGCAUUUGCAGGUAAAUGGAUGGAACUAGAGAAUAUUAUGCUAAGUGAAAUAAGCCAAUCCCCAAAACCCAAAAGCUGAAUGUUUUCUCUGAUAAGCAAUGCUGAUCCAUAGUGGGGUAGAGGGAUAGGGGAAGAAUGAAGGAACUUUGGUUUGCGUAGAUGGGAA
Molecule: long non-coding RNA, 2658 nt
Filed under: Marmota monax (woodchuck)
Lineage: Eukaryota; Metazoa; Chordata; Mammalia; Rodentia; Sciuridae
Source: RNAcentral